Molecule: transfer RNA, 72 nt
Filed under: Bos taurus (domestic cattle)
Lineage: Eukaryota; Metazoa; Chordata; Mammalia; Artiodactyla; Bovidae
Also listed under: 4 other names
Rfam family: tRNA
About the family: Transfer RNA (tRNA) molecules are approximately 80 nucleotides in length. Their secondary structure includes four short double-helical elements and three loops (D, anti-codon, and T loops).
Source: Rfam by way of RNAcentral
UUCCUGUUGGCUCAGAUGGUAAAGAAUCUGCCUGCAAUGCAGGAAAUCCAGGUUCAACCCCUGGGUCGGGAA